RNAcentral lists this long non-coding RNA (253 nucleotides) under Nicotiana benthamiana. RNAcentral describes it as "long non-coding RNA (NBEN_LNC019191)". Lineage: Eukaryota; Viridiplantae; Streptophyta; Magnoliopsida; Solanales; Solanaceae. The record is from RNAcentral.
AUGUACAUGUCUUGGGUCAUAUAAGGUCAUAUGGGUCCCUAUCAAAGACCAUAUUAACAGCAUCACUUGACUUGGGGCCUGUAGCCGAACCUGCUCCACCUGCUGGACAAUAUUUCUUCAUGUGUCCAGGCUCUCCACACUUCCAGCAAACAACAUUCCUCUUCAUGGGAUUCCUCUUUUCAUUUCGUUUCCCGUAGCACAUAUACACGCCUUCAGAAGAAGUAUCCCUCCCAUCUCCUUUGAGUCUUCUUUC